This 670-nucleotide ribosomal RNA is filed under the name uncultured bacterium. RNAcentral describes it as "bacterial SSU rRNA". It matches the Rfam family "Bacterial small subunit ribosomal RNA", at positions 57 to 718 of the family's 1533-position model. The record is from RNAcentral.
GCAGUCGACGGUAACAGGAAGCAGCUUGCUGCUUUGCUGACGAGUGGCGGACGGGUGAGUAAUGUCUGGGAAACUGCCUGAUGGAGGGGGAUAACUACUGGAAACGGUAGCCAAUACCGCAUAAUGUCGCAAGACCAAAGAGGGGGACCUUCGGGCCUCUUGCCAUCGGAUGUGCCCAGAUGGGAUUAGCUAGUAGGUGGGGUAAAGGCUCACCUAGGCGACGAUCACUAGCUGGUCUGAGAGGAUGACCAGCCACACUGGAACUGAGACACGGUCCAGACUCCUACGGGAGGCAGCAGUGGGGAAUAUUGCACAAUGGGCGCAAGCCUGAUGCAGCCAUGCCGCGUGUAUGAAGAAGGCCUUCGGGUUGUAAAGUACUUUCAGCGGGGAGGAAGGGAGUAAAGUUAAUACCUUUGCUCAUUGACGUUACCCGCAGAAGAAGCACCGGCUAACUCCGUGCCAGCAGCCGCGGUAAUACGGAGGGUGCAAGCGUUAAUCGGAAUUACUGGGCGUAAAGCGCACGCAGGCGGUUUGUUAAGUCAGAUGUGAAAUCCCCGGGCUCAACCUGGGAACUGCAUCUGAUACUGGCAAGCUUGAGUCUCGUAGAGGGGGGUAGAAUUCCAGGUGUAGCGGUGAAAUGCGUAGAGAUCUGGAGGAAUACCGGUGGCGA